GGUCAUGUCUCAGUGGUAAUGAACAUGACUAGUAUCCAUGAGGAUGCAGGUUUGAUUCCUGGCCUUGAUCA
This 71-nucleotide transfer RNA is filed under the name Sus scrofa (pig). It matches the Rfam family "tRNA". Rfam says of the family: Transfer RNA (tRNA) molecules are approximately 80 nucleotides in length. Lineage: Eukaryota; Metazoa; Chordata; Mammalia; Artiodactyla; Suidae. The record is from Rfam by way of RNAcentral.